UGUGCAAAUUAUAAUUUUUAGAUGAUUUUUUUUUAAAUAUCGGUAAAAGUAGUUUAUUCUAAUGAAACCAGUAAACUAAACACGAUUCAUUAUUAGUUUUCCAGCGCCACUUUUAUCCAGCGCCAAGGGG
Molecule: long non-coding RNA, 130 nt
Organism: Bradysia coprophila
Lineage: Eukaryota; Metazoa; Arthropoda; Insecta; Diptera; Sciaridae
Source: RefSeq, a predicted model, not a curated record